This 1477-nucleotide long non-coding RNA is filed under the name Prunus persica (peach). Its description in RNAcentral is "long non-coding RNA (PPER_LNC003735)". Lineage: Eukaryota; Viridiplantae; Streptophyta; Magnoliopsida; Rosales; Rosaceae. The record is from RNAcentral.
UUUGGGGCUUUGAGUUUUUGAGUUGGCUAGCUGGGUACUUUCCUUCCUUUGGUGAAUUAGACGGGUGAGCUUUGGUUGAAGGGUCCCACCAUCAUGAAAGUGAAAGAAGAACAAAAACAAAGGUCCUCUGCUUCCUUAUCUUUCAAUUACUUUAGUAUUAUCCUAUACUAUUUAACUUGCUCUACAGGUGGAAAGGCAGUAGCAAGCUUGAUAUCCAUCUUUUUUUUUUUUGCACAUUUUAUACUAUAUAACUAAUAUAUCAGUAUAACAAUAUUACACUAUUUGAUCGUGGUGUUGAUAAGAACCCACAAAUAAUUGCCUUUACUUUUAUUUAAAUGUAUGGAGCAGAAUUAGUGCCCAUACAUUUAUUAUAUUUACUGUAUGGUGUAGGUUUAUUACCCAUACAGCAGUAUUUAUUUAAAAGGGUGGUGCGGAUUUAUCGUCCACGCCUUUACUUUUAUUUAAAUGUAUGGAGCAGAAUUAGUGCCCAUACAAGCACCUUUACUUUAUCGCAAAUUUACUUUUACUUAAAGUAUGAUGUGAAAUUAACCCUCAUACUUUAUGAAUUUACUUUACCGCACAUUUAAUUUUAUUUAAGAUAUGGUGCGGAAUUAACUUCCAUAUAGCAAGUAAUUUAUUUUAUCUCACAUUUACUUUUACUUAAAGUAUGAUGAGGAAUUAACCCUCAUACUUUAUGAAUUUACUUUACCGCACAUUUACUUUUACUUAAAGUAUGAUGAGGAAUUAACCCUCAUACUUUAUGAAUUUACUUUACCGCACAUUUACAUUUAUUUAAAGUAUGGUGCGGGUUUAUCGUCCAUACCAGUAAUUUAUUUAUCAGCAAUUUAUUUUAUGGAUUAAUUGUGCUGUAUGAUGAGUUUUUACAGUAUACAGAUUAGGACCAGAAGUUCCUUGAUCCUCAUCAUACAAUUACAUCAGGACUUGAAGAUCCUUGAUGAUGAUGUUAAUAUAAGAGCUGGCAGUCUCUCCGGUACUAUAUUUGUAAACAUAUGAUUGGACUUGAGGGUCCUUGAUCCCUGACAUGUAAAUAAGGACCUGGGGUUCCUUAAUGAUGUAACAGUACUGUAUUGUUUCAUAAUGCCGUACACAUGGAUGAUAACUGUACUGGCAAAUGUACUGUCCACAUGAAUAGAUACGUAUUCAUGACUUGAUGAAUAGUACCGGAUAUAUGAAUAGUGACGUAUACAUAAAUAUUAACCAUUUUGGGUAAACCAUCACUAUAUUCAAAAAGGGAACCUGCAGUCCCUUAAACUCAUGAAUGAGCAAUUAAAUGAGAUGCCAGAAGUUCCUCAAGAUAUGGACAAUUAUGUAAGGACUUGAAGUCCAGAAACAUGUACAGAAAAUUGUAAAAAUGUCCAUACCAUGAGAAUAUGUGAUUUUGGCUUGAGGUUCAAAAUCUAACAGUGUUGAGAACCUGAAGUUCCAACAAUUAAAUGGACAACUCUUGAGGUAUUAU